This 253-nucleotide ribosomal RNA is filed under the name uncultured bacterium. RNAcentral describes it as "partial 16S ribosomal RNA". It matches the Rfam family "Bacterial small subunit ribosomal RNA", at positions 524 to 776 of the family's 1533-position model. The record is from RNAcentral.
UACGGAGGUGGCAAGCGUUGUUCGGAAUCACUGGGCGUAAAGGGUGCGUAGGCGGGUCUUUAAGUCAGGGGUGAAAUCCUGGAGCUCAACUCCAGAACUGCCUUUGAUACUGAAGAUCUUGAGUUCGGGAGAGGUGAGUGGAACUGCGAGUGUAGAGGUGAAAUUCGUAGAUAUUCGCAAGAACACCAGUGGCGAAGGCGGCUCACUGGCCCGAUACUGACGCUGAGGCACGAAAGCGUGGGGAGCAAACAGG